Molecule: small RNA, 75 nt
Filed under: Xanthomonas vesicatoria
Lineage: Bacteria; Pseudomonadati; Pseudomonadota; Gammaproteobacteria; Lysobacterales; Lysobacteraceae
Also listed under: 1 other name
Description: sX9
Rfam family: Xanthomonas sRNA sX9
Source: RNAcentral
ACGGACCACUCGUACGCACUGCUUGUCCGUGCGCCGUCCCCAUCCACCUGAGCGCUGCUCGCUACGUUGUCAGCU